AACCUAGCACACCUGCGGUGUGUACCUGCGGAAGGAUCAUUACCUAGAGUUGUAGGCUUUGCCUGCUAUCUCUUACCCAUGUCUUUUGAGUACCUUACGUUUCCUCGGCGGGUUCGCCCGCCGGUUGGACAAAACUUAAACCCUUUGUAGUUGCAAUCAGCGUCUGAAAAAACUUAAUAGUUACAACUUUUAACAACGGAUCU
RNAcentral lists this unclassified non-coding RNA (203 nucleotides) under soil metagenome. RNAcentral describes it as "partial contains 5.8S ribosomal RNA, internal transcribed spacer 2, and large subunit ribosomal RNA". The record is from RNAcentral.